This 397-nucleotide ribosomal RNA is filed under the name Pichia manshurica. RNAcentral describes it as "partial 26S ribosomal RNA". The stretch from base 86 to 397 matches the Rfam family "Eukaryotic large subunit ribosomal RNA", at positions 1 to 315 of the family's 3401-position model. The record is from RNAcentral. Lineage: Eukaryota; Fungi; Ascomycota; Pichiomycetes; Pichiales; Pichiaceae.
AGAAGGGAAGGCGGAAAGGGGGAAGGUUGUAAAAAAGUAAAGGGGCGGGGGAGGGAACAAGGGGGAAAAAAAAAUGGAAAGCGGCGGACCCCGAAAAAUCGAGGACCUGCACAUUUUGCAUAUCAAUAAGCGGAGGAAAAGAAACCAACAGGGAUUGCCUCAGUAACGGCGAGUGAAGCGGCAAAAGCUCAAAUUUGAAAUCUAGUACCUUCGGUGCUCGAGUUGUAAUUUGAAGGUAGUUUUCUGGUGCUGGCCCUUGUCUAUGUUCCUUGGAACAGGACGUCAUAGAGGGUGAGAAUCCCGUCUGAUGGGGUGUCCAGUGCUUUGUAGAUUUCUACCGAAGAGUCGAGUUGUUUGGGAAUGCAGCUCUAAGUGGGUGGUAAAUCCAUCNAAGCAG